Pieris brassicae (large cabbage white) is the source of this 2533-nucleotide long non-coding RNA. RefSeq lists it as uncharacterized. Lineage: Eukaryota; Metazoa; Arthropoda; Insecta; Lepidoptera; Pieridae. The transcript has 3 exons. The record is from RefSeq and is a predicted model, not a curated record.
UAAUUCAUAUUUAAACCAAGGAGCCGAGGCUAGUGUUUAUUAUAUAUUUAAAUAAGACAACAUUUAGAUAUAAAGUAGUUAGCGCUUGUAUCUCGACUGAAGUGGACCUGUGCUUGAUUUAAUUAAAAUGAAAUUUCUACUACUCUGCUUGCUUGCCGCGUAUUGCUACGCCGAUAACUCUAGUGAAUCCUUAAUAUCAAAAAUUCAAGAUCAUCAAAAGACACUUCGUGUUUGGGAAGAAGACAACUCCCGGUUAUUGGCGUCCAUCACCGAAAAACAAAAGAAAUACGACAAUGCCAAGAAAAACGAAGUUGGAUUGUUACAAACUGUCGACUAUUUGGUUAAAACAAACAUGGAAAUGUUAGAAAACGUUUUAACUGAACUAAAGAAGAUACGAAUCAACCUUAACGAGGAUGGACAUAUGGAAAAUAAAUACGACAUAGGAGAAGAUGCUUUGUCUAAUAAGUAUCCAACAGACUCUGAUACCCUAACACUUGAGUGGCUUAACUAUAUGAAGGAAAAUGAUGGAAAGUGAACCAUAUGGACAGAUAAUUACGGACAGAUAAAUAUAUUUAAUAUAGAUACUGAGAAUAGAGAAUAUGGAUACUGUUUCUAUUUCAUGAUUGAUUUUUGAAGUUAAAUAAAAGAAAUAUAUUAUAUUAGAAAUAUUUAUAGCCUAUAAUUUCAUUAUUCAAAAAAUCUACUUGCGUUAAUAUAAAUAAUAUAAAAUGGAAAAAAGUGCGUACGUACAAAGUACACAUACACAUAUUCAUACUGUUUACACACUGUGCACGUGCUAAAGGUAAUACAAAUAAAUAAAAAAUGCGUUUACUGCAGAAGAUGUUAUGCGACCGAAUGGCCAUCUCAAAAUUUUUGUUUAGUAACAAUAGUGGUCUCAAAUAUAAUACAGGAAUAUGGGUAUGAGUAGCAUGUCCACUUUGAUUGUUUAAUUAAAUUUUUAAAAUCUUCAUUAAUUUGCAGUACAAUGAGAACAGGCAGAGGCAGAACUGGGAAAUAUCCUCGUAAAAGCUAACCUCCCGAAGUCUGCUGGGAACAUUGUACAGGAAAAAGUGCUAUUUUUUUAAAACAUUAUCAUUACCAGAUAACAGCUUUAGUAAAUAUCUCUCUAUUAGCAGAAUAAUAAAAAAAUUAUAAUAAAUGCCACUGUGUCUUCCGAGACAGUAGGGGUAGGUUAAACAACUGUAGUUGAAGUGGCUUCUGACUAUAAAUUUAUAUAGCAUACUUAAAACUUUGGGGUCUGCGCUCCAAAUCACACCAUUUAAACAUCUUAUAAUAUUUAAGCCCUUAAGAGAGUUAGUUAUAAUGUGAUUGAUGUGGAAAUGAAAACAGCAACAGUUUGUUAUCAUUGACAAAACCCCGAAAUUUAUGGUUAGGUACCACUGAAAUUGAAUGAUUAUUGUUACAUUAGAGGGAAAAUCUUUACUAAAAAUCAUGGCCUUGCUUUUGUUGGGGUUAAUCUGUAGAGCCAACCUGUCAUUAUAAUAUCUAUACAAUUGAUCUAAAGCAUUAUUUAUACUAUUUACAGCUCUAUCUACAUUAUGGUCGGAAGAAUUUAUUACAAGAUCAUCCGAAAAUUGUAAAAUAUUUACAUCUAUAUUUACAAAAUUAAGAAUUUGAAUUGUAUAUACAUUGUACAGUAAUGGAGAUAAUGUAGCCCCCUACAUAGUACCUUUGGAGACCCUUCUUGGACCAUGGAGAAUAUUAUUAUGCCUUAUAUACAAAAUUCUAUCUAUUAAAAAAUUAAAUAACCAAUGAUAAAGUGUGCCUGGUAUACCAGAGUCAGAAAGAACUUGAACCAACAUACCAAGAUCUGACAAGAGAAAAAUGAAGCUGUCAGCACAAUUUCAACCUCUCCAGAAGCCAUAUUGAACAUGUGGAAUGAUUUUGUUCGCCUCUACAUAACAUUCAAGACCAAGCUCGUUUUGGACGUUAUGAUAGUGGGAAUUAUGCUGAUAAUAUUAAAAUGCUGACUAUCUUUUGGCCAUGUUUCAUUAAGUAAACACAUAUCAACAUUUUGCUCAGCUAAAAAUUUAGACAAUAAGGCAUUUUUCCUAUGUAUACUUUAAAUAAUGUACUGAGCUAUACAUAACUGUAUAAAUUUCUGUAUUCGAUUUAUAUUCGGUCUAAGAAAGGACGACCUAAUCUCUGCGUUUUGUAAGCUAGGCUAGGCUGGUUACCGAUUCGUCAGCGACGUGAUGUUCUCCAUCUCCUAUAUUCCAUCCUGUUCAACCCUAAAACUCCUUCCUAUCUCAAAAAUGUUUCUAAAUUCUUGGGAGCCCUUAACUAUAGCUCCUCAUUUCUAGGCGAUUCCUUUAAGGUCUCUGCAGUUAGGCUAUGGAAUUCACUUCCCGUCCCUAUCCGCUUAGCUCCUUUCCUUUAAAUUUCUUCUGUACAAACAUUACCUGUCCACAUCGUAACCCUAACUGACGUCAGACUUAUCUAAAAUUAUCGUGAUUUAUGUGUCUUUUUACUUUCUAUUUUUAAUGUUUUCUUAUAAUUUUAAUCUUUUUAG